RNAcentral lists this ribosomal RNA (440 nucleotides) under uncultured bacterium. Its description in RNAcentral is "partial 16S ribosomal RNA". It matches the Rfam family "Bacterial small subunit ribosomal RNA", at positions 338 to 795 of the family's 1533-position model. The record is from RNAcentral.
CCUACGGGUGGCUGCAGUGGGGAAUAUUGCACAAUGGGGGAAACCCUGAUGCAGCGACGCCGCGUGAGUGAAGAAGUAUCUCGGUACGUAAAGCUCUAUCAGCAGGGAAGAAAAUGACGGUACCUGACUAAGAAGCCCCGGCUAACUACGUGCCAGCAGCCGCGGUAAUACGUAGGGGGCAAGCGUUAUCCGGAUUUACUGGGUGUAAAGGGAGCGUAGACGGGAGCACAAGUCUGGAGUGAAAUCCCGGGGCUUAACCCCGGAACUGCGUUGGAAACUGGGCGGCUGGAGUGUAGGAGGGGUAAGCGGAAUUCCUAGUGUAGCGGUGAAAUGCGUAGAUAUUAGGAGGAACACCGGUGGCGAAGGCGGCUUACUGGACUGUAACUGACGUUGAGGCUCGAAAGCGUGGGGAGUAAACAGGAUUAGAUACCCGAGUAGUC